UAUCUUCUGCGGUGUUCGUAUUCAGGCGUGUGGUAAACUUGAGCCUAUACUGCACUUAUAUAGGGGACUAACCGCGUUAAUGUUGUGAUUUCCUUAAUUAGGAAACCUGAUUUAAUGCCCGCUGUUCCCACUUGAACCCAUGGUUCAAGUUCAAACCCUGUUACGCCACUGCGGUUGAUAC
RNAcentral lists this non-coding RNA (181 nucleotides) under Candidatus Dadabacteria bacterium. Its description in RNAcentral is "6S RNA". It matches the Rfam family "6S / SsrS RNA". Rfam says of the family: E. coli 6S RNA was the first non coding RNA to be sequenced, but its function was unknown until recently. The record is from RNAcentral. Lineage: Bacteria; Pseudomonadati; Thermodesulfobacteriota; Candidatus Dadabacteria.